AAUAUUGGUCAAUGGGCGGGAGCCGGAACCAGCCAUGCCGCUUGCGGGCAGAAGGCCCUAUGGGUCGUAAACCGCUUUUACACGGGAACAACCGCAGCUACGUGUAGCUGCCUGAGGGUACCGUGGGAAUAUGGAUCGGCUAACCCCGUGCCAGCAGCCGCGGUAAUACGGAGGAUCCGCGCGUUCACCGGAAUUAUUGGGUUUAAAGGGUGCGUAUGCGGCACGUUAAGCCAGGGGUGACAUACAGCGGCUCAACCGUUGCAGUGCCCUUGAUACUGAAGUGCUUGAAUGUGGCCGAAGGAGGCGGAACGGGACAAGUAGCGGUGAAAUGCAUAGAUAUGUCCCAGAACCCCGAUUGCGAAGGCAGCUUCCUAGACCGUUAUUGACGCUGAUGCACGAAAGCGUGGGGAUCGAACAG
RNAcentral lists this ribosomal RNA (418 nucleotides) under uncultured bacterium. Its description in RNAcentral is "partial 16S ribosomal RNA". It matches the Rfam family "Bacterial small subunit ribosomal RNA", at positions 360 to 775 of the family's 1533-position model. The record is from RNAcentral.